AGGGAACACAAGCAGGGAGAAGCAGGCUUCCCGCUGAGCAGGAGCCCAAUGUGGGGCUCGAUCCCAGGACCCUGGGACCAUGACCUGAGACAAAGGAAGAUGCUUAUCUGACUCAGCCACCUAGAUGCCCCCAUUAUUAUACAUUUUUUAAUACAUUUUUUUGCUUGUUAAUUCAUCAAGUUGUUUGGCAUCACACAUGCUCUUUUUUCACUAACAUUUCUUCCUUAUCAAGAGAGUUAUGAGUUUUUCAUAUACCAGGAUGCAUAUUUGUAAUAGAGCUUUGUAUUGUGUUGUGAAAGCCUUCCACCCUGUUGUUUGUUCCUGACGUGUUGUCACAUUGGAAUGUGGAUAGACAUCCCAAAGUUUUAUGGGAAAUGUGGGUUCCAAACUCCAAGCCACUAUAUAGACCAUCAUGAGGGCGAAGAUUAAUAUACUAUCAAAAUGGGAGUAUUGCAUCAGUGGAGAAAUGUCACAACACUGUCAACCAGUUGAUGAAACCAACAAAUUACUAACCAAACUGCCAACCAUUUAUUUUUUAAUCUUUUACAACAAAAUUGCCUUAUAGCCAAUUGUAUGCUGAAAAUCCUUCCUGCAAAGAUGCCUGUGGCAAAGAUGUUUAUAGUAAAGACACUGGGCACCGGCAAUGCCAUCCGAAGGAGAUGAAUAUGGCCUGAAACACGGACUUCAGUUGCUGGGCAAUAUCACUCUUCUGGGAUACGGAUAUACUACCCAACUCUGGCUGACAGAAGUUGGAGGAAAGCAUGCUACAAAGCAUUCAAGGAAAGAAUUUCUCCAUGGAUUAAAAAAGGAGAGGGAGAGAGAGACUGAGGAAGAAGAAAGAGUUAGGAAUCCCCUGUCUCCUUUCCUGCUAUUGAUGUUCUGUGAGGAAAAGAUGCUUGGAUUUGCCGAAGCCAUCUUGCAACCAGGACGUUGAAGACAGGAGUCGCAGAGAAGCUGAACCACAGAAGCCACUGAACCAAUUUGGAUAUAUCCGAUGACCAGACUUCUUGUUGUGUGAUCAAAUAAAAUCCUAUUGUUGUAGUCAAGUAUGUCCAGACUGUUGCUUGAGGCCAAAGCAAGUGACUGAGUCAGCUAAAAAUCAUGCACUGAUGUGGCAGGCCCUUGCGGAGUACGUACUGGGUGCCAAGCAUGACACGAAGCCCCUUUCCUGUCUCUUCCGAUGAAUUACCUAUGAAUACAUGCAAUAGAAAUGACCAAAGGCCAAGAAUGAGCCAAAGAAUGACAGUUUUAUCUCGGAGAUGGAAAAGAAUCCAUAAAGAACUUUUUUUUUCUUUUACAUCAAAGAAUUUAUGAUUUGGGGAGUGUUUUUGUUGAAGGCAGGUAUGAAAAGGGGACUGGAGUAAUAAAGAGGAAUAACAUAAAUGUGCAUUUUAGGACUACUCCUUUAUAACUAUAGUCAAGAGAUAAAUACAUUUUGUAUCUUCAGAACCCGGAAAUCUUAGAGAUUAGCUUUUUUUUAGCCAAGAAAAAGAUCAUUUUCUGGCUUUAUGAUUAUGAAUGCUUCAGUCUGCAUGCCGCAUAAAUAUCUAUAUACACACAUACAUAUUAUAUGGGUCUGCAAUGUUUUCUCUCCUCUGCAAGGAGAAAAAGAAGAUGUGAAAUUCUGUGAAUACAAGACAAUCACUAAGUUUGAACGAACAAUGCUUAUUUUCUCCAGGAAUACUAUUCUCUCAGUUUUACCAAAAGUUUGCACUCGUCUGGAGAAAGAAGCAUUCACAUUGAGACAGGAUGGUUUAAAGCCAUUAACUUUAGAUUAUGGCCUUUGAAGGGGGAGAACCUAAUGAAUAGAAAUUACUUCAUUCAACGGCUGUCAUGAAUUUAAUAAGUAGAAAACUGUCUGAUAGCUGCUUCCCUUGCAAGUGCUGCCUUGUGUCUAUUUUAGUGGACACAUAGAAAUAAUCUUAAAGCAUAGAUCAGUAUCCAAAAAUGAAUUCUCUAUAUUUAUAAACUUUUUAAAAAAGAUUUUAUUUAUUUAUUUGAGAGAGAGAGAGUGAGAGAGCACGAGAGGGGAGAAGGUCAGAGGGAGAAGCAGACUCCCCAUGGAGCAGGGAGCCUGAUGCAGGACUCGAUCCCAGGACUCUGGGAUCAUGACCUGAGCUGGAGGCAGUUGCUUAACCAACUGAGCCACCCAGGAGCCCUAUAUUUAUAAAUUUCUUAAAGCAAAAAAGAAUUUUAAAGCUAAAUUCCACGAGAAUUUUUUGAAUCAUUUUAUUCUAACGCAUACUCCAUAUCCAGUUUUACUGGUUACCACUCAGCAAAAAUUCCACUUUUGCAAUGUC
RNAcentral lists this long non-coding RNA (2300 nucleotides) under Mustela putorius furo (domestic ferret). Its description in RNAcentral is "lncRNA (ENSMPUG00000030725.1)". Lineage: Eukaryota; Metazoa; Chordata; Mammalia; Carnivora; Mustelidae. The record is from RNAcentral.